UAAUAAACAUUAACCAGAUGUUUAGCAUUAGCUAAUUCACUCAGAUUAGCUUUCAAAAUGUUUUAAAACAUUUUUUUAUUAAAACAAGCAUUGUUUAUGAUGCCAUUGUUAUUUAAAAUGUUGUUAACGCAAUCUUCACAAACAGUUUUAGAGUUUUCAGUCCCUCCCUUUUCAAGUUGACAGGAGCUAUUUUUGUAGAAUGCCAGUAUGGCCGCCAAGUGAACCAACUUCCCUUUAAAGGGAUUUUUUUAACAGAAGGCAUCCAGUCUGGUGUCAUCUGAGUGAUCUUCAGACUGGAAGGCCCCUUGAUUUAAGCCAGUAUUUAAUUGAGCCAAAAAAACAAACAAAAAAACAUCUGCUGAGAAUACAACUUGAGGAGCGAGGACAAGAUUGGCUGAAGAAGCAGCUUAAGAACUUUACAAGCACAGACAUGAAGAACAUCUUCUUUGAUUUCUUUAACUACUGCCAAGGAGUUGAGGAGGGCAACAUUCACUGGUCGAAAGUGCUGAAUGCUUAAUAAAAGCAGAACACCAGAUUGCAUGGUCACUAUAUCUGAGGCUUCCAGUAAGGAAUGCAAUAACAUUCUCUGUAUCACACACUCAAAAGGCUUAAUACUAAACACAAAGAAGGGGCACUACAGCCUUAAUAGUGGAUUUGGCAGUUUGACAGAGAGAGGACACAUAAGAAAACACACAAAUAGUAAUUAUAAAACCAAGCUAUCAUAAUGCAAUUACUAGAUCUUCUGUCUCUAAUCACUGUUACUGC
Long non-coding RNA from Carassius gibelio (silver crucian carp), 765 nucleotides. RefSeq lists it as uncharacterized. Lineage: Eukaryota; Metazoa; Chordata; Actinopteri; Cypriniformes; Cyprinidae. The transcript has 2 exons. The record is from RefSeq and is a predicted model, not a curated record.